AAACUGUGUUAUGGGCAUGAACUGACAAAAUUCUUGAACCGUUCCCAACAUUGGAAGAAUGUUUCAUCUUCUUUUUGGGAAAAGUUCAUAAUCGACUUUCUAAGGGU
This is a small nucleolar RNA of Magnolia sinica, 107 nucleotides long. Lineage: Eukaryota; Viridiplantae; Streptophyta; Magnoliopsida; Magnoliales; Magnoliaceae. The record is from RefSeq and is a predicted model, not a curated record.